GCUGGCGACUAGAGCGUAGGGGCCACACUCGUUCCCAUCCCGAACACGAUCGUUAAGCCCUACAGCGCCGAUGGUACUCCGAUCGAGAGAUCGCGGGAG
RNAcentral lists this ribosomal RNA (99 nucleotides) under Pyrinomonadaceae bacterium. Lineage: Bacteria; Pseudomonadati; Acidobacteriota; Blastocatellia; Blastocatellales; Pyrinomonadaceae. The record is from RNAcentral.